UUCAACCUGGUCUCAUGGGAAAUACGUACCUCUGCACACUUUUUUGCAGCGCCAAAAAUAUGUACCAAUAGGCACGUAUUGCUACAGUUUUGAAAAACAAACGUCCACUGGGGUCGCUAAAGAGAAGAACUCCAUGUGACAUUACAUUAGGAGUUGCAUUUCAUUACAUCGCGAGAUUUAACAACGCAUUGAUCAAGAUAAUUUAUGAAGAUCUUUAAACGAAGGAUUGGAAUAUCAGAUAGUUGACAUGUGUGUCACGUGACAAUCAUGACCCGUCGCCAUGGACACAAGGGGUCAGAUAAAAUAUUUGUAACUUGCGUGUGAAAGGUUUAUUUUAAAUAUAUAUAUAUAUUCUAAGUAAACAACAAAAUUGAAACUAUAAAUAAAUAUU
This is a non-coding RNA of Paramisgurnus dabryanus, 391 nucleotides long. The record is from RefSeq and is a predicted model, not a curated record. NCBI's taxonomy places the organism in Eukaryota, Metazoa, Chordata, Actinopteri, Cypriniformes, Cobitidae.